GGAUGUGAGGGUGAUCUGGCUGCGACAUCUGUCACCACAUUGAUCGCCAGGGUUGAUUUGGCUGAUCUGUCAGGCUAGGCAGGUUUCCCCUUUCUCCCUCUUAACUCCAUGUGUGUCCCUCCUGAAGCUGCAGGUUCGCUUGAAGAGGACGACCUUCCCUGAUUGAAGGAGGACAAUCCUUCUGUCAAGGGUAUACAAGGAGCUGCGCUCCCCUGCUAGAACCUCCAAACAAGUCUCAAGAAGCCUCUAUUGGUUUCUUCCCACCUGGAGCCCAGGAGAACAAAGGAAAACAGAAAUGCAAGAAAGUAGUCAGUCCAAAGGACUAAUAGCCCAAAUGAUCCACAGCCUCCUU
RNAcentral lists this small nuclear RNA (352 nucleotides) under Echinops telfairi (small Madagascar hedgehog). RNAcentral describes it as "7SK RNA (ENSETEG00000024239.1)". It matches the Rfam family "7SK RNA". From Rfam's summary of the family: 7SK was discovered as an abundant small nuclear RNA in the mid-70s but a possible function has only recently been suggested. Two independent studies have found that 7SK RNA binds the CDK9/cyclin T complex (known as elongation factor P-TEFb). P-TEFb activates transcription by phosphorylating the C-terminal domain of RNA polymerase II. Lineage: Eukaryota; Metazoa; Chordata; Mammalia; Afrosoricida; Tenrecidae. The record is from RNAcentral.